UUACAUUUAUCUCAAAAUACCUCACAUCCUAUACAUCAUCUACUCUCAAUACAUGUAUAGGGUAACUCUAAUGCAAAAUAGGAAAGUAAACUAUCAACUAGCACUAGGGCGCUAAGCCCAUAACGCGAUCCUCUGCCGAUCCGCUCUCGUGUGUACCUGUACCCCAAAACCACACGGGGUGAGAACUAUAUAAAUAUAGUUCCCAGUGGGUUCGGCCGCCGACUCCGCCGAUCUUCCCACUAGGUCCAAGCUGGCACAGAUAGAUAGAUAGAAAGAUAUAUGGAAAUACUACUACUAUAUCUACUAUGCCAUCAAAUGCAAAGUAUGCAUGGAACAUCAUCUAGCAAUAACCUACCAUCAUGCUAGUAUGCCUCAACAGUGAAAUAAAUACAACAACAACAUAGUUAUGCAAUGCACUAUGUCUAAUCAAGGUAUGAAUGCAAUACUCUUAUGCUAUUCAUGUUGUUACCCAAUCCGCUAGGCUAACUUGCCUAAGAUCUCAAAUCUAGUAGGUGAAGAGCUACCUCACUCUUGUCUCACUCGACUCAUAUCUCAAGGGUCUGACCCAAUCUCGUGAGUCCCAGGCAAAGAGCUACCCCGCCCCUCGCCCGACUCACAUCUCAAGGUCCUAGGCAAAGGCUACCCCGCACUUUGCACGACUCACAUCUCAAAGAACUGGCUCACAUCUCAAAGAACUAGGCAAAGGCUACCCCGCAUUUUGCCCGACUCACAUCUCGACCUACUAGGUACAGGGCUACUCCACUCAAAUCUCAUAGGUGAACAACAGCAACAACUAUGGAAGCAAGCUAUCAUGAACAACAACAAUGAGUAUGACUCAAUAGGUACUCAAAUCUCAUAGGUGAAGGAAUAGUAUAUCAUGAAGGCAUGAGCAAUAAGUAAGCUACUAUGAACACUAGUAAGCUACUAUGAACAACAACAACAACUAUAGAAGCAAGCUAUCAUGAACAACAAUAAUGAGUAUGACCCAAUAGGUAACCCAAUCUCCAAGUGAACACGAGGUUCACAAGCAAGGCUCACAUAUCAAUCUCCGAGGGAUGCCUAGCUGGACGAUCCCCGAGUACGCCUGCGGAUAACAAGCGGCUAUCCGAGCAGCAAGCACGGCUGCCUCUCUAGUGACCAAACUCCGGAGCGCACAACUUGAGGGGAGCGACCCCACCAAGCGCAGACAGGCAAUGUGAGCGUGAUCAUCUCACGAGCAACAGCAACCUACCCUCUAAGGGUAAUCUCAUCAUGGAAUCAAGGUGUUCUUGUACCCAAUCUCAUAGUGUUUCAACUACACUAAGGUUCUCAUGUCAAGGUUAUCAACAAUCAUAUGCCACUCAUCAUAGUUUUCUAAACUAGAUGCCACUCGACAUUUAGACUCAUUUCAACACUAGUUACAUCAUACUAGUUCUUUAGCAACAUAAGUAUUAAUCACCUCACAUAGGGUCUAGGUCUUUAUCAUAAAGUUUUCAUCAUAUAAUCAUCAUGCAUACUAGAUCAUGGAUCAAUC
RNAcentral lists this long non-coding RNA (1513 nucleotides) under Ananas comosus (pineapple). RNAcentral's name for it is "long non-coding RNA (ACOM_LNC038124)". Lineage: Eukaryota; Viridiplantae; Streptophyta; Magnoliopsida; Poales; Bromeliaceae. The record is from RNAcentral.